GAUGAACGCUAGCGGCAGGCCUAACACAUGCAAGUCGAGGGGCAGCGGGGUGUAGCAAUACACUGCCGGCGACCGGCGCACGGGUGAGUAACGCGUAUCCAACCUUCCCAUCACUCAGGGAUAGCCCGCCGAAAGGCGAAUUAAUACCUGAUGGUCUCCUUUGCAGACAUCUAACGAGGAGUAAAGAUUCAUUGGUGAUGGAUGGGGAUGCGUCUGAUUAGGUAGUAGGCGGGGUAACGGCCCACCUAGCCGACGAUCAGUAGGGGUUCUGAGAGGAAGGUCCCCCACAUUGGAACUGAGACACGGUCCAAACUCC
RNAcentral lists this ribosomal RNA (316 nucleotides) under uncultured Prevotella sp. Its description in RNAcentral is "bacterial SSU rRNA". It matches the Rfam family "Bacterial small subunit ribosomal RNA", at positions 28 to 339 of the family's 1533-position model. Lineage: Bacteria; Pseudomonadati; Bacteroidota; Bacteroidia; Bacteroidales; Prevotellaceae. The record is from RNAcentral.